This 427-nucleotide ribosomal RNA is filed under the name uncultured Nitrosomonas sp. RNAcentral's name for it is "bacterial SSU rRNA". It matches the Rfam family "Bacterial small subunit ribosomal RNA", at positions 200 to 622 of the family's 1533-position model. The record is from RNAcentral. Lineage: Bacteria; Pseudomonadati; Pseudomonadota; Betaproteobacteria; Nitrosomonadales; Nitrosomonadaceae.
UCGAAAGACCUUGCGCUUUGGGAGCGGCCGAUGUCUGAUUAGCUAGUUGGUGGGGUAAAGGCCUACCAAGGCGACGAUCAGUAGUUGGUCUGAGAGGACGACCAGCCACACUGGGACUGAGACACGGCCCAGACUCCUACGGGAGGCAGCAGUGGGGAAUUUUGGACAAUGGGCGCAAGCCUGAUCCAGCAAUGCCGCGUGAGUGAAGAAGGCCUUCGGGUUGUAAAGCUCUUUCAGUCGAGAAGAAAAAGCUGCAGUGAAUAACUGUAGUUCAUGACGGUAUCGACAGAAGAAGCACCGGCUAACUACGUGCCAGCAGCCGCGGUAAUACGUAGGGUGCGAGCGUUAAUCGGAAUUACUGGGCGUAAAGGGUGCGCAGGCGGCUUUGUAAGUCAGAUGUGAAAUCCCCGGGCUUAACCUGGGAAUU